RNAcentral lists this RNase P RNA (618 nucleotides) under Desulfobacteraceae bacterium. RNAcentral describes it as "RNase P RNA component class A". The stretch from base 1 to 533 matches the Rfam family "Bacterial RNase P class A". From Rfam's summary of the family: Ribonuclease P (RNase P) is a ubiquitous endoribonuclease, found in archaea, bacteria and eukarya as well as chloroplasts and mitochondria. Its best characterised activity is the generation of mature 5'-ends of tRNAs by cleaving the 5'-leader elements of precursor-tRNAs. Cellular RNase Ps are ribonucleoproteins. The record is from RNAcentral. Lineage: Bacteria; Pseudomonadati; Thermodesulfobacteriota; Desulfobacteria; Desulfobacterales; Desulfobacteraceae.
AGAGUAGGACGAAUGGCCGCCCGGCACUCAACUUUAAGGAGGUAUGGGCUCGGCCCGUGGUAUUUUCCUAUAUAGGUGAGAUAAGCGCAAUUUCCUGUCCCUUCUUAGAGUUGAGUGCCGGGAGGAAAGUCCGGGCUCCGCAGGACAAGGUGCUGGGUAACGCCCAGUCCCGGUGACGGGAAGGAAAGUGCCACAGAAAACAGACCGCCCGGCACUCAACUCUGAGGGGGUAUCCAGGUGGUUCACAAGAUUACCCAAGUAUUGGGAGAAUCCCGCACGCCACAAAUAUCCCCUUAAAGUUGAGUGCCGGGUAAGGGUGAAACGGUGAGGUAAGAGCUCACCAGUCCCGCCGGUGACGGCGGGAGCUAGGUAAACCCCACCUGGAGCAAGACCAAAUAGGGGAGCGCUUGAGGGUGGUCCGCCCGAGCUCCCGGGUAGGUCGCUUGAGCCCAUCGGUAACGGUGGGCCUAGAUGAAUGGCCAUUACCCGGCACUUAACUCUAAGAAGGGACAGGAAAUUGCGCUGAUCUGACCUAUGUAGGACAAUCCUACAGGCCACCCAGAACCUGCUUAAAGUUGAGUGCCGGGGACAGAACCCGGCUUAUGGACUGCUCUGGCA